GCAAUAUACCAAAAUCGCAACAAACAGUCCAAUAAGUGAUACCCAUCCUGUCUAGUGUAAUUGUAAUAAAAACAACGAGGUGCUAUGCAUGACAGUUUGACCCUACUCCAAUUAAGCUAAAAACAACGAGGUGCUAUGCAUGACAGUUUGACCCUACUCCAAUUAAGC
Molecule: long non-coding RNA, 168 nt
Organism: Dreissena polymorpha
Lineage: Eukaryota; Metazoa; Mollusca; Bivalvia; Myida; Dreissenidae
Exons: 2
Source: RefSeq, a predicted model, not a curated record